AUGCAGCCGCCAUCGCUCCACCAGCCGCCGCCGCCGGCCACGCCGCGCGGCCGAAAGGGACGAGCCAGCAGGAGGAGAGACCGGACGUGGCACGUCACGGUGUUCAACCACAUGCCGGUGCCGUGGGAGAGGGACUGGGCGGACCUUCCCCAGGACGCGAUCUCCUGCAUCCUCCGCAAGCUGGACCAGGUGGAGCUCCUGCUGGGCGGCGCCGCGGCGGUGUGCCGCUCCUGGCGCCGCAUCGCGCGGCACGAGCCCGAGCUGUGGCGCUGCAUCGACGCGCGCGACCUGCCGGCCGUUCCGCCCUUCGGCUGGCAGGCCGUCCGCACCAAUCUUGUGCGCUCCGCCCUGCGGCUCAGCGCCGGGCAGUGCGAGGUCUUCGCCGCCGAGCUCUUCGACGAUGACCUGUUCCUCUUCCUCGGCGAGCAGGCACCCUUAUUAAAGAGGCUCUAUCUCAUCAAGUGUUAUUACGUCUCAAAGAAAGUAUUUGCAAAGGUUAUGCGCAAGUUCCCUCUCCUUGAAGAGCUCGAGCUUUCGAUGUGGUUUGGUAGCACAGAAAUGCUCGAGAUCGUCGCUGAAGCCUGCCCACGCCUGAAGCACUUCAGUCUCAUAAAAAAAGAUCGUUUUUACAAACCUGCAGAUGAUGGUAAUGCUUUCGCGAUUGCGAAGAUGCACGAGCUACGUUCCUUGUAUCUCGACAGCAACAGACUCACCCACAAAGGGCUGACAGUGAUCCUUGAUGGCUGUCCCCACCUAGAGCACCUUAACGUUUUCGAAUGUAAGUAUCUCAAGAUGGAUGAUGACCUGCUGGAGAAGUGUUCUCGAGUUAACAUGGCUGGCCCUCGGUACUCUUUGCCAUAUCUGCCUUGCAGUUGCUGUUGGAGUCCCGACUAUCCAAAUCACGAGGAUUAUGAGGAUUACCGUGAGGAUUCUUAUUACUACAUCGGUGAUCACAUCGACGAUGAUGAUCUUGCAGAACACGAGAGGCUUCUUGACGUCAAGGGCAUGCGGAGGUACUUGCCCUAG
RNAcentral lists this ribosomal RNA (1026 nucleotides) under Triticum aestivum (bread wheat). RNAcentral's name for it is "partial small subunit ribosomal RNA". The record is from RNAcentral. Lineage: Eukaryota; Viridiplantae; Streptophyta; Magnoliopsida; Poales; Poaceae.